Molecule: ribosomal RNA, 449 nt
Filed under: uncultured bacterium
Lineage: Bacteria
Description: partial 16S ribosomal RNA
Rfam family: Bacterial small subunit ribosomal RNA
Source: RNAcentral
AACGAACGCUGGCGGCAGGCUUAACACAUGCAAGUCGAGCGCAUCCUUCGGGGUGAGCGGCAGACGGGUGAGUAACGCGUGGGAACGUACCCUUUCCUACGGAAUAGCUCCGGGAAACUGGAAUUAAUACCGUAUACGCCCUUAGGGGGAAAGAUUUAUCGGGGAAGGAUCGGCCCGCGUUGGAUUAGCUAGUUGGUGGGGUAAAGGCCUACCAAGGCGACGAUCCAUAGCUGGUCUGAGAGGAUGAUCAGCCACAUUGGGACUGAGACACGGCCCAAACGCCGACGGGAGGAAGCAGUGGGGAUUAUGGAAAAAUGGGCAAAAGCCUGAUCCAGCCAUGCCGGUUGAGGAAUGAGGGCUUUGGGUUUGUAAAGCUUUUUCGGUGGGGAAAAUAAUGCCGGUACCUACAAAAAAAGCCCCGGCUAACUUUGGGCAAGCCGCCGCUGUAA